GACGAACGCUGGCGGCGUGCUUAACACAUGCAAGUCGAACGAUGAACCUGGAGCUUGCUCUGGGGAAUUAGUGGCGAACGGGUGAGUAACACGUGAGUAACCUGCCCUUGACUCUGGGAUAACCUCCGGAAACGGAAGCUAAUACCGGAUAUGACGCACGGAGGCAUCUCCUGUGCGUGGAAAGAACUUCGGUCAAGGAUGGACUCGCGGCCUAUCAGGUAGUUGGUGAGGUAACGGCCCACCAAGCCUACGACGGGUAGCCGGCCUGAGAGGGUGACCGGCCACACUGGGACUGAGACACGGCCCAGACUCCUACGGGAGGCAGCAGUGGGGAAUAUUGCACAAUGGGCGCAAGCCUGAUGCAGCAACGCCGCGUGAGGGAUGACGGCCUUCGGGUUGUAAACCUCUUUUAGUAGGGAAGAAGCGAAAGUGACGGUAC
RNAcentral lists this ribosomal RNA (439 nucleotides) under Microbacteriaceae bacterium Ellin7169. RNAcentral describes it as "bacterial SSU rRNA". It matches the Rfam family "Bacterial small subunit ribosomal RNA", at positions 28 to 478 of the family's 1533-position model. The record is from RNAcentral. Lineage: Bacteria; Bacillati; Actinomycetota; Actinomycetes; Micrococcales; Microbacteriaceae.